CAGCCGCCGCGGUAAUACGUAGGGUGCGAGCGUUAAUCGGAUUUACUGGGCGUAAAGCGUGCGCAGGCGGCCCGUUAAGACAGGUGUGAAAUCCCUGGGCUCAACCUAGGAAUUGCGCUUGUGACUGGCGGGCUCGAGUACGGUAGAGGGGGGUGGAAUUCCUGGUGUAGCAGUGAAAUGCGUAGAGAUCAGGAGGAACACCGAUGGCGAAGGCAGCCCCCUGGGCCUGUACUGACGCUCAUGCACGAAAGCGUGGGGAGCAAACAGGAUUAGAUACCUUGGUAGUCCACGCCCUAAACGAUGGGUACUAGCCGUUUGGUGCGCGAUAGCGCUGAGUGGCGAAGCUAACGCGUGAAGUCCCCCGCCUGGGGAGUACGGCCGCAAGGUUGAAACUUAAAGGAAUUGGCGGG
This 410-nucleotide ribosomal RNA is filed under the name uncultured microorganism. Its description in RNAcentral is "bacterial SSU rRNA". It matches the Rfam family "Bacterial small subunit ribosomal RNA", at positions 509 to 917 of the family's 1533-position model. The record is from RNAcentral.